Molecule: long non-coding RNA, 232 nt
Filed under: Carica papaya (papaya)
Lineage: Eukaryota; Viridiplantae; Streptophyta; Magnoliopsida; Brassicales; Caricaceae
Description: long non-coding RNA (CPAP_LNC003606)
Source: RNAcentral
AGUAUAUUUUAUGCAUGCAAUGGUGUUUUAUAUAUGCAUUAUAAAUAAAUUUAGUUUUCAAAUAUGAUGUCUGUUGUGGUUUUAGGAUUGGAUGAAUGUGUGUGUGUAAUGCAUCCAUUUGGUUUAUAAUCAAUAAAUUUGAUGGAUUUUUAUAUAUAAUUGCAUUUGAUAAACUAUUUAUUGAAGGAUGAUAAGAUGGAAAUACAUAAAUGAGCAGGGAAGGUAUGGGGUU